CUACGGGUUGCACCAGUGGGGAAUAUUGCGCAAUGGGCGCAAGCCUGAUGCAGCCAUGCCGCGUGUAUGAAGAAGGCCUUCGGGUUGUAAAGUACUUUCAGCGGGGAGGAAGGGAGUAAAGUUAAUACCUUUGCUCAUUGACGUUACCCGCAGAAGAAGCACCGGCUAACUCCGUGCCAGCAGCCGCGGUAAUACGGAGGGUGCAAGCGUUAAUCGGAAUUACUGGGCGUAAAGCGCACGCAGGCGGUUUGUUAAGUCAGAGGUGAAAUCCCCGGGCUCAACCCGGGAACUGCAUCUGAUACUGGCAAGCUUGAGUCUCGUAGAGGGGGGUAGAAUUCCAGGUGUAGCGGUGAAAUGCGUAGAGAUCUGGAGGAAUACCGGUGGCGAAGGCGGCCCCCUGGACGAAGACUGACGCUCAGGUGCGAAAGCGUGGGGAGCAAACAGGAUUAGAUACCCCCGUAGUC
RNAcentral lists this ribosomal RNA (464 nucleotides) under uncultured bacterium. Its description in RNAcentral is "partial 16S ribosomal RNA". It matches the Rfam family "Bacterial small subunit ribosomal RNA", at positions 339 to 795 of the family's 1533-position model. The record is from RNAcentral.